AAACUAACGAGGAUUCCCAUAGUAACGGCGAGUGAAAUGGGAAAAGCCCAGCGCUGAAUCCAUCGAUCACUGGUCGCUUGGAAUUGUAGCGUAUAGGUGCGGCUGUCCGCUCGUUUCGUGCACCCAAAGUCCCCUUGAGCGGGGCCAUAGUCCAAAGAAGGUGCUAGACCUGUACGGGUGGCGAGACGGUCGGUUGGUCGCUCCUUGGAGUCGGGUUGCCUGGGAUCGCAGCCCAAAGUUGGUGGUAGACCUCAUCUAAGGCUAAAUAUGGCCACGAAACCGAUAGCAAACAAGUACCGUGAGGGAAAGUUGCAAAGAACUUUGAAGAGAGAGUUCAAGAGGGCGUGAAACCGCCGAGAUUGAAACGGAUAGAGUUGACGAAACUCGAUCGCAUUCAUCCGAUCCGCCUAGCGGUUCGGCGGUUGUUGACUUCCUCGAUGAGGGCAACGCCGUCGCUGGCUGUUGGGUGUUAGAUGGGUGUAUUUGCGGUCGGUAUGCGCCGAGAGCUUUGCGAACGCAUGUUGGCGUUGAUGUAGUGGACCACUCCCUUCGGGCGUGGAACCCUGCACUGACUGAGGCAUGUCGUUUGUAGGGUGUUGCUGGUUGACGUCUCCGCUAUGGUGCGUCGGCUUUGUCGGACUGUUGUGGCUACUGGGUGAUCGCAUGCGAGCGCCUGUGGUUUAUGAUCGUACGAUGAGGUGCAGACGCGCUUGAGACGUGCAUCUCGGUGUGAACGUUGACCACCUAUC
Molecule: ribosomal RNA, 749 nt
Filed under: Anisakis berlandi
Lineage: Eukaryota; Metazoa; Nematoda; Chromadorea; Rhabditida; Anisakidae
Description: LSU rRNA
Rfam family: Eukaryotic large subunit ribosomal RNA
Source: RNAcentral